UGAUUUGCUCGUAGGGCGCGAGCAAGGUAAACAAAAAAAGCCCACCGAGA
RNAcentral lists this non-coding RNA (50 nucleotides) under unclassified sequences. Its description in RNAcentral is "6A RNA". It matches the Rfam family "6A RNA". From Rfam's summary of the family: Actinobacteria (1 example), Firmicutes, Fusobacteria. Terminator (Clostridia) The record is from Rfam by way of RNAcentral.